Molecule: ribosomal RNA, 467 nt
Filed under: uncultured bacterium
Lineage: Bacteria
Description: partial 16S ribosomal RNA
Rfam family: Bacterial small subunit ribosomal RNA
Source: RNAcentral
GACGAACGCUGGCGGCGUGCUUAACACAUGCAAGUCGAACGGAAAGGCCCUGCCUUUGUGGGGCGCUCGAGUGGCGAACGGGUGAGUAACAAGUGAGUAACCUGCCCUUGACUUUGGGAUAACUUCAGGAAACUGGGGCUAAUACCGGAUAGGAGCUCCUGCUGCAUGGUGGGGGUUGGAAAGUUUCGGCGGGUGGGGAUGGACUCGCGGCUUAUCAGCUUGUUGGUGGGGUAGUGGCUUACCAAGGCUUUGACGGGUAGCCGGCCUGAGAGGGUGACCGGCCACAUGGGGACUGAGAUACGGCCCAGACUCCUACGGGGGGCAGCAGUGGGGAAUAGUGCACAAGGGGCGGAAGCCUGAUGCAGCAACGCCGCGUGCGGGAUGACGGCCUUCGGGUUGUAAACCGCUUUCGCCUGUGACGAAGCGUGAGUGACGGUAAUGGGUAAAGAAGCACCGGCUAACUACGU